GAUGAACGCUAGCUACAGGCUUAACACAUGCAAGUCGAGGGGAAACGGCAUUAAGUGCUUGCACUUUUUGGACGUCGACCGGCGCACGGGUGAGUAACGCGUAUCCAACCUUCCCAUGACUAAGGGAUAACCUGCCGAAAGGCAGACUAAUACCUUAUGGUCUUCACUGACGGCAUCAGAUGUGAAGUAAAGAUUUAUCGGUUAUGGAUGGGGAUGCGUCUGAUUAGCUUGUUGGCGGGGUAACGGCCCACCAAGGCAACGAUCAGUAGGGGUUCUGAGAGGGAGGGCCCCCACAGUGGAACUGAGACACGGUCCAAACGCCUACGGGAGGCAGCAGUGAGGAAUAUGGGGCAAGGGGCGAGAGCCUGAACCAGCCAAGUAGCGUGCAGGAUGACGGCCCUAUGGGGUGUAAACUGCGGUUGUAUGGGGAUAAAGUCAAUCACGUGUGAUUGUUUGCAGGUAGCAUACGAAUAAGGACCGGCUAAUUCCGUG
RNAcentral lists this ribosomal RNA (492 nucleotides) under uncultured bacterium. RNAcentral describes it as "partial 16S ribosomal RNA". It matches the Rfam family "Bacterial small subunit ribosomal RNA", at positions 28 to 507 of the family's 1533-position model. The record is from RNAcentral.